Molecule: non-coding RNA, 107 nt
Organism: Capsicum annuum
Lineage: Eukaryota; Viridiplantae; Streptophyta; Magnoliopsida; Solanales; Solanaceae
Source: Rfam
UUCUGAUGAUGUGGAAAAUCUUAAAUAAGUCACUUGAAUCUCUCCUAAGCAUGAUAAAUAUUCUCAUCUGGCUUCUACUUGAAGCUUAAAAUCUCACUUCGUAGCCU